Small nuclear RNA from Pteronotus mesoamericanus, 163 nucleotides. RefSeq annotates it as U1 spliceosomal RNA. Lineage: Eukaryota; Metazoa; Chordata; Mammalia; Chiroptera; Mormoopidae. The record is from RefSeq and is a predicted model, not a curated record. The transcript has a single exon.
GUACUUACCUGGCGGGGGUGGUACCAUGAUUACGAAAGUCGCUUCCCAGGGCGAGGCUUAUCCACUGCACUCUGGAUGCGCCGACCGCUGCCACUUCCCCAUACGUGAGAAACUUGACUGCAUAAUUUAUGGUAGUGGGGGACAAUGUCCUCACUCUUCCCUG